RNAcentral lists this long non-coding RNA (278 nucleotides) under Solanum tuberosum (potato). RNAcentral's name for it is "long non-coding RNA (STUB_LNC006869)". The record is from RNAcentral. Lineage: Eukaryota; Viridiplantae; Streptophyta; Magnoliopsida; Solanales; Solanaceae.
ACAUACGUGUUUCUCCAUUAGAGGAACUCUCCAGUACAUUAUUAAUUGUUGUUCAAGAUUGAUAGAGCUCAAAUGGCACAAAAAAUGGGGAAAAUCAAUACUUUAUUAACAAUAAUUUGACUAAUUGCAUAGUUUUGGCCUCGAAUUCAGUUCCCUAUAAACCCAAAUUCAACUUUACCCUCUUCUUCUCCUGGAAUCCCGCUUUCUGAUCUACAUUUAGCUUCAUUCUCCAUUAAUUACCCUUAUUAAAAUAUUCCCCAUUGUUUUUCCACUGCCCC